This 253-nucleotide ribosomal RNA is filed under the name uncultured bacterium. RNAcentral describes it as "partial 16S ribosomal RNA". It matches the Rfam family "Bacterial small subunit ribosomal RNA", at positions 524 to 776 of the family's 1533-position model. The record is from RNAcentral.
GACGAAGGUGGCAAGCGUUGUUCGGAAUCACUGGGCAUAAAGCGCACGUAGGCGGCGACGUAAGUUGGGUGUGAAAUCCCUCGGCCCAACCGAGGAACUGCGCCCAGUACUGCGUUGCUUGAGGAUCCAAGGGGUGCAUGGAAUUCCCGGUGGAGCGGUGAAAUGCGUAGAUAUUGGGAGGAACACCAGUGGCGAAGGCGGCUCACUGGACCGGUACUGACGCUGAGGCGCGAAAGCGUGGGGAGCAAACAGG